Molecule: ribosomal RNA, 630 nt
Filed under: uncultured bacterium
Lineage: Bacteria
Description: bacterial SSU rRNA
Rfam family: Bacterial small subunit ribosomal RNA
Source: RNAcentral
GUGAGUAAUGUCUGGGAAACUGCCCGAUGGAGGGGGAUAACUACUGGAAACGGUAGCUAAUACCGCAUAACGUCGCAAGACCAAAGAGGGGGACCUUCGGGCCUCUUGCCAUCGGAUGUGCCCAGAUGGGAUUAGCUAGUAGGUGGGGUAACGGCUCACCUAGGCGACGAUCCCUAGCUGGUCUGAGAGGAUGACCAGCCACACUGGAACUGAGACACGGUCCAGACUCCUACGGGAGGCAGCAGUGGGGAAUAUUGCACAAUGGGCGCAAGCCUGAUGCAGCCAUGCCGCGUGUAUGAAGAAGGCCUUCGGGUUGUAAAGUACUUUCAGCGAGGAGGAAGGUGUUGAGGUUAAUAACCUCAGCAAUUGACGUUACUCGCAGAAGAAGCACCGGCUAACUCCGUGCCAGCAGCCGCGGUAAUACGGAGGGUGCAAGCGUUAAUCGGAAUUACUGGGCGUAAAGCGCACGCAGGCGGUCUGUCAAGUCGGAUGUGAAAUCCCCGGGCUCAACCUGGGAACUGCAUCCGAAACUGGCAUGCUAGAGUCUUGUAGAGGGGGGUAGAAUUCCAGGUGUAGCGGUGAAAUGCGUAGAGAUCUGGAGGAAUACCGGUGGCGAAGGCGGCCCCCUGG